This 497-nucleotide ribosomal RNA is filed under the name uncultured bacterium. RNAcentral describes it as "partial 16S ribosomal RNA". It matches the Rfam family "Bacterial small subunit ribosomal RNA", at positions 28 to 507 of the family's 1533-position model. The record is from RNAcentral.
GAUGAACGCUGGCGGCGUGCCUAAUACAUGCAAGUCGAGCGAACAGACGAGGAGCUUGCUCCUUUGACGUUAGCGGCGGACGGGUGAGUAACACGUGGAUAACCUACCUAUAAGACUGGGAUAACUUCGGGAAACCGGAGCUAAUACCGGAUAACAUGUUGAACCGCAUGGUUCAACAGUGAAAGACGGUCUUGCUGUCACUUAUAGAUGGAUCCGCGCCGCAUUAGCUAGUUGGUAAGGUAACGGCUUACCAAGGCAACGAUGCGUAGCCGACCUGAGAGGGUGAUCGGCCACACGGGAACUGAGACACGGUCCAGACUCCUACGGGAGGCAGCAGUAGGGAAUCUUCCGCAAUGGGCGAAAGCCUGACGGAGCAACGCCGCGUGAGUGAAGAAGGUCUUCGGAUCGUAAAACUCUGUUAUUAGGUAAGAACAAAUGUGUAAGUAACUAUGCACGUCUUGACGGUACCUAAUCAGAAAGCCACGGCUAACUACGUG